Molecule: non-coding RNA, 459 nt
Organism: Pelobates cultripes (western spadefoot toad)
Lineage: Eukaryota; Metazoa; Chordata; Amphibia; Anura; Pelobatidae
Source: the annotation of a GenBank genome assembly
GUGGUCUCCGGCUUGUGAAGCUGCGUUUCAGGCACUGAAACAGGCUCUUGUGAAUGCCCCUGUCUUGGCUGCCCCAGUCCCUAACAAACGCUUUCUCGUCCAUACAGAUGCUUCCAUGUGCUGAGCCAAGUCGGGAAAGAUGGAGGAGAGCACCCUGUCGCAUAUCUCAGCCGAAAGUUUUUACCCAGAGAAGUGAGUUAUGCGGCAGUGGAGAAGGAGUGCUUGGCCUUGGUCUGGGCAUUGAAAAAGUUAAGUCCUUACUUGUAUGGGCAAGAGUUUUCCCUUGUGACUGAUCAUAACCCACUCGUCUGGCUUAACCGGGUCUCAGGGGACAAUGGUAGACUGCUGAGAUGAAGCUUGGCACUACAGCCCUACAAUUUCACUAUCAGCUACCGACCCGGUAAGCAAAACGGGAAUGCGGAUGGGUUAUCCCGGCAAACUGACGUCUCCACCACCUCC